GACGAACGCUGGCGGCGUGCUUAACACAUGCAGGUCGAACGGAAAGGCCCUGCUUUUGUUGGGUGCUCGAGUGGCGAACGGGUGAGUAACACGUGAGUAACCUGCCCUGGACUUUGGGAUAACUUCAGGAAACUGGGGCUAAUACCGGAUAGGAGCUCCUGCUGCAUGGUGGGGGUGGGAAAGUUUCGGCGGUUGGGGAUGGACUCGCGGCUUAUCAGCUUGUUGGUGGGGUAGUGGCUUACCAAGGCUUUGACGGGGAGCGGGUCUGAGGGGGUGCGGGGCCACAGGGGGAGUGAGACAGGGCCCAGACCCCUGCGGGGGGGAGGAGUGGGGAAUAGUGCAAAAGGGGCGGAAGCGUGAUGGAGAAGCGGCGCGUGGGGGAUGAGGGCUUUGGGUUUGUAAACCGUUUUCGCCUGUGACGAAGCGUGGGUGACGGUAAUGGGGAAAGAAGAACCGGUUAACUACGU
Molecule: ribosomal RNA, 467 nt
Filed under: uncultured bacterium
Lineage: Bacteria
Description: partial 16S ribosomal RNA
Rfam family: Bacterial small subunit ribosomal RNA
Source: RNAcentral